CCCCAAUCGCCGGCCGGCGUAGCGUCAGCGGUCCCGCCCCGCCGUGACGGUCCUUCCGGCUGCUGGUGUGUUUGGCACGGGGCUGUCCGCUUCCUGCCGGUGUGGCAGUUGGGGAAGGAGCGCCUUUCUUCUCUUGCGCGCCGGCUGUCGGUCCGUCGCGAUAAUAUAUAUCAAGCGAAGGCUUAAUUUCCACAUCACCUGAUCAUGGUCGGCAUGAUUUUACACAAGCUUCAGAUGCCGGUCGCGCACGAGGGCGCUCCCAUAGUGCUUUCAGGAUUACUCAAGUCCGUGUUAGAUGAGAUGUGUUUCAUCACCUCACUCAUUUCUGCACCAGUUCUGCAAACUGCACAUUUCUGACUGCGAGGACGUGAUGCGGCUGUUCGUUUUUACAGGAAAUUAUUAACACACAAACACCUGAAAUCCUUUUACUCUUAUUUACUGUCAUUUUUCUUGUGUAAAAUAACCUGAGCGAAAAGAAAACACUGCAUGGAAAAACUAGAAAUAAAUGUAUAAUGUGUAUAAGGUUUGUGUUUGGAUGCAUAGCAGAUAACACAAAUGAUCGAGUCGUGAAACAUUCGAGGUGAUAUUAGUUCAAAAGUCUGUGCUCCUCUUUCUGAAUGUGAUAUCACAGCUAAUUAAGCGCUGUGAGCGGUUUACUUUUUUCUUUAUUGUGUUGCUUGGAAUUCAUUUCAGUGGGUGGGGAGCAACACAUUUUUAUCAUAUUAAUAACACAUUUAUGAUAGUUUCACUGACAAUGAUUAAAAUAAGAUCUCGGAAGCAGGAAGCUGGAGAUCACAACUCUGUCAUUUUCAAUCUCUGUGCUUUUGAGCUACAAAGUGGGAAAAAACGUGGACUCCUCUAUGCUUGUCUUUUGUUAGCGAUGAGCAAGGAGUAACAGUAUUUACCUCAGAACAGUGAAGUGUAGAGUCACUGCCCCAUGAAGUUCC
Long non-coding RNA from Ictalurus punctatus (channel catfish), 947 nucleotides. NCBI's taxonomy places the organism in Eukaryota, Metazoa, Chordata, Actinopteri, Siluriformes, Ictaluridae. The record is from Ensembl.